Molecule: ribosomal RNA, 440 nt
Filed under: uncultured bacterium
Lineage: Bacteria
Description: partial 16S ribosomal RNA
Rfam family: Bacterial small subunit ribosomal RNA
Source: RNAcentral
CCUACGGGAGGCAGCAGUGGGGGAUAUUGCACAAUGGGGGAAACCCUGAUGCAGCGACGCCGCGUGUGGGAAGACGGUCCUCAGGAUUGUAAACCACUGUCCCCAGGGCCGAAGAUGACGGUACCUGGGGAGGAAGCUCCGGCUAACUACGUGCCAGCAGCCGCGGUAAUACGUAGGGAGUGAGCGUAGUCCGGAAUUACUGGGGGAAAAGGGAGCGUAGGCGGGGAUGCAAGUUGGGUGUCAAAACUACCGGCUCAACUGGUAGUCGCACUCAAAACUGCAGCUCGUGAGUGAAGUAGAGGCAGGCGGAAUUCCUAGUGUAGCGGUGAAAUGCGUAGAUAUUAGGAGGAACACCAGUGGCGAAGGCGGCCUGCUGGGCUUUUACUGACGCUGAGGCUCGAAAGUGUGGGGAGCAAACAGGAUUAGAUACCCCGGUAGUC